GGGCGGUGGCGAGUCCCGCCCCCCUCAGCCCGGCGCCAUCUUGGCGCUGCAGCAGAGGUCCCGCGUCCCGACGCGGGCGGGCAUCGCCCCCUCGCUGUCCCGCUGCGAGACGGGCUCGGGGCGUCAGGAGAGGCGAGAAGAGCUGCCGUGUUUAGCCUAGGGAAGGGAAGGCUGACAGGCGAUCUCGUUUAUACAUGUCCUGUGAGGAGCGGCUGAGGGGGUGUCUCAGCCUGGCGAAAGGGAGGCUCAGGGGGACCUUAGUGCUGUCUACAACUGCAGGAGGGCGGAGCCUGGGAACAGAAAUAGAGUAUGGUGUGCAGAGAUCCUCCACGAGAGGCAGGAGGUGAAGCCAGGACAUCCUCCGUGCUCCCAGGCUUUGUGAGGGACUGGCACAGCGCAGCCAGCAAGGCAGAGGACUCCUUAACAGACAUUUCACAGCAACGAGGACAAGACUGUUGAUGUCAAGUGCUCUGUUGAUAACAUUUUGGAGAGAACACAUCACUUGAGCUUUUCUAAAACACCAUGAGGACUGUGACUGUGUGUACUGGUAACUUGCUGAGGCAGGUACUCAAAUAUUGAAAGGCCAGAAAACACACAGUCUCUCAGUCUGGAAAUCUUUCACUGUUGUACCUUGUGUAACUGGAUAAUAACGACUAAAAAAUCCUAUAGACUUACAGUGAAAAGGAAGCAAAUCAGUGUUGACAACAGUGUGCAAAAUCUGUUUUACCUCUCCCAAGAUGCAGUGUGUGGAAGUUGUGUCACAGUAAUCCUCACCGGCAACUGUAGUUUGCAUUUACUGCAUCUGAUUUGGAACCCUACGUUGGAAGCCAAAUUUCACGAGAAGGGAAAUCUUCCUCCAAGUCCCUCUCACACUGAAUUUGUUAUACAGAAGAGAAAGCAGAACUGCUGUGCACAAAGCCGAGUGUCUGGCUGAGCUAACAAACCCAGAGCUGCCCUGACUCCAUCAGUGUCAGCCACGUCCUGAUCCCAAGGUGAAAAGACAUGGCAGCAGAAGAUUGAAAUUCUUCUACAAGGAAUUUUUUGUGCCCUUGGGUGGGUCCUAUCUGAAAUACUAACUGAGGUACAGUCCUGGCUAGAGGCUGCAUCCCAUCUUGCUUGUUGUUCUACAGAGGAAUGAAGAAUACAUGCUUAGGCAGCGAUGCAAUUCAGUGCAUUAUCAAGUAAUGAUUUAUGGUUAAGACUUGAAGCUAAAUUCUAGCAAACAUUAAUAUUUUCAAUGCUGAAAUGGGAAAUGUCACAAUAUGAGAAAGCCAGUGUGCUAGAGAAGCACAUUAAUGAGAAGAUGAAAAGCCUUUGAAGAUCUGAGGGACAGUACCAGUGCAGAGUGAUAAGAUGAAAUUUUAAAUGAUGUUUGAGUGAA
Molecule: long non-coding RNA, 1381 nt
Organism: Vidua chalybeata
Lineage: Eukaryota; Metazoa; Chordata; Aves; Passeriformes; Viduidae
Exons: 5
Source: RefSeq, a predicted model, not a curated record